Molecule: ribosomal RNA, 1134 nt
Filed under: Triticum aestivum (bread wheat)
Lineage: Eukaryota; Viridiplantae; Streptophyta; Magnoliopsida; Poales; Poaceae
Description: partial small subunit ribosomal RNA
Source: RNAcentral
CUGCAGACGCCAGAUUUACCGGAUUAUCUAAUACCAAGACUAAAAAUGUGAUUCAAAGAUGUAGAGAAAGCAAGGGAAUUUUAUAACAGAUACACCAGACAUGCUAGUUUUGGAAUCAGGAAGACGGGUGGAAAUGACAACCACAAGUAUUUUGUUUGCGCCUUCCAAGGGAUACACACAUCUUCUGUUUCAGAGGCCAACAGGAAGCGAAACAAAACAUCACAGAGGACGGGCUGCAAUGCAAGAAUGAGGGUGAAGGUGCAGGAGGAUGGCACAUGCGUGGCAGUGGACAUUGAGUACAAUCAUAAUCACGAGCUCAUGCAAACUGAUGACAUGCUGGUAUUUUUGCACUCACACAAGAAUUAUGACCCCACUAUUUUGGAGUACGUAAAGCUCCUGCAGUACCAUGAUGUCAAGCACACAACAAUCAUGUGCAUGCUAUCUGAAAAUGAAGAUGGAAGCUACUUCCUAAGCAUGACCGGACGAGACCUGCUAAACCAGAAAGCCAUGAAUGCAAGGAAAGAUGAUUUGGAUGAUGUAUUGAAACUUGUUUCAUUCUUCAAAGACAUGAAGGCAAUAAAUGAUGAGUUUGUCUAUGACAUCCAAGUGGACAAGGACAAGUCAAUUAAAAACAUUUUGUGGUCCAAUACAAGCUGCCGAGGAGCCUAUCAAGACUUCGGCGAUUGCGUAACAUUCGACACGACUUACAAGACCAACAUAUUUCAUAUGCCCCUAGGAGUGUUUGUUGGAACAAACCAUCACUUGCAGUCAACGAUAUUUGCUGUUGCCCUGAUAAGAGACGAAGAUGCAAAGUCAUUCAAGUGGUUGUUCGAUACAUUUCUAUGGUGCAUGAACAACAAGCACCCAACUUGCAUUCUAACAGAUAAUGUAAAUAAUGCAGUUCAACCAGUACCACUAUCAUUUCCAAACACCGUCCACAAGCUAUGCAGUUGGCACAUCAUGAAGAAGUACAGGGAAUACCUCGCGUUGCUGUACAAAAAGUAUAAAACAUUCAAAGAGGAGUUCAUAGCUAUAUUAAACUGGCCACUGAUGCCAACGGAGUUUGAAGAUGCCUGGGCUAAAAUCAUGCACAAAUACAACCUGGAGAACGACCAGAUGAUGAUGCAGCUCUAG